RNAcentral lists this ribosomal RNA (500 nucleotides) under uncultured bacterium. RNAcentral describes it as "partial 16S ribosomal RNA". It matches the Rfam family "Bacterial small subunit ribosomal RNA", at positions 28 to 507 of the family's 1533-position model. The record is from RNAcentral.
GACGAACGCUGGCGGCGUGCUUAACACAUGCAAGUCGAACGGGUCUGCCCUGUUUUUUGCGGGGUGGGUCAGUGGCGAACGGGUGAGUAACACGUGAGUAACCUGCCCCUCACUUCUGGAUAACCGCUUGAAAGGGUGGCUAAUACGGGGUGUUCUGGCUGUGCCGCAUGGUGUGGCUGGGAAAGAUGCACUUUUGUGGUGUUUUGGUGGGGGAUGGGCUCGCGGCCUAUCAGCUUGUUGGUGGGGUGGUGGCCUGCCAAGGCUUUGAGGGGUAGCCGGCCUGGGAGGGUGGGCGGUCACACUGGGACUGAGAUGCGGCCCAGACUCCUGCGGGAGGCAGCAGUGGGGGGUAUUGCACAAUGGGCGGAAGCCUGAUGCAGCGACGUCGCGUGAGGGAUGGAGGCCUUCGGGUUGUGAACCUCUUUCGCCGGUGAAGAAGGUCCUGCUCUUUGUGGUGGGGUUGACGGUAGCCGGGUUAUGAAGCGCCGGCUAACUACGUG